Molecule: ribosomal RNA, 239 nt
Filed under: uncultured bacterium
Lineage: Bacteria
Description: partial 16S ribosomal RNA
Rfam family: Bacterial small subunit ribosomal RNA
Source: RNAcentral
GAUCAUGGCUCAGGAUGAACGCUGGCGGCGUGCCUAACACAUGCAAGUCGAACGAAGCACCUUACCGGAUUCUUCGGAUGAAGGUCUGGUGACUGAGUGGCGGACGGGUGAGUAACGCGUGGGUAACCUGCCCUGUACAGGGGGAUAACAGCUGGAAACGGCUGCUAAUACCGCAUAAGCGCACGAGGAGACAUCUCCUAGUGUGAAAAACUACCGGUGGUACAGGAUGGGCCGGCCGU